RNAcentral lists this unclassified non-coding RNA (405 nucleotides) under soil metagenome. Its description in RNAcentral is "partial contains 5.8S ribosomal RNA, internal transcribed spacer 2, and large subunit ribosomal RNA". The stretch from base 3 to 123 matches the Rfam family "5.8S ribosomal RNA", at positions 36 to 154 of the family's 154-position model. The record is from RNAcentral.
GAAUGAAGAACGCAGCAAAAUGCGAUACUUGGUGUGAAUUGCAGAAUCCCGUGAACCAUCGAGUUUUUGAACGCAAGUUGCGCCCGAAGCCUUUUGGCCGAGGGCACGUCUGCCUGGGCGUCACGCAUCGCGUCGCCCCCCACAAUUCUCCGUAAAGGGAACGUGUGUUUUGGGGGCGGAUAUUGGUCUCCCGUGCUCAUGGCGUGGUUGGCCGAAAUAGGAGUCCUUUCGAUGGACGCACGAACUAGUGGUGGUCGUAAAAACCCUCGUCUUUUGUUUCGUGCUGUUGCUCGCAAGGUAAACUCUUUAAAAACCCCAAUGUGUCGUCUCUUGACGACGCUUCGACCGCGACCCCAGGUCAGGCGGGACUACCCGCUGAGUUUAAGCAUAUCAAUAAGCGGAGGA